AAAUCUAAUUAAAUCUUAAACCCUAAUAAUUCCUAAACCCUAAGUCAAAUCCUAAAUAAAUCUUAAAUUAAACCCUAUUCCAAAUCCUAAACCCUAAACCAACCCUAAAUCAAAUCCUAAACCAAAUUCCAAUCUAACCCUAAACCCUAAACCAAACCUUAAAUCAAAUCCUAACCAAACCCUAAUCCAAACCCUAAAUCAAACCCUAACCAAAUCCUAAAUUCUAAUCCAAAUCCUAAUCCAAUCCUAAAUUCUAAUCCAAAUCCUAAUCCAAUCCUAAACUCUAAUCCAAAUCCUAAACCCUAAACCAAACCUUAAAUCAAACCCUAACCAAACCCUAGUCCAAACUCUAAUCCAAAUCCUAAAUCAAACCCUAACCAAAUCCUAAUCCAAAUCCUAAUCCAAACCCUAAUCAAAAUCCUAGACCCUAAGUCAAACCUUAAAUCAAAUCCUAAUCAAAUCCUAAUCCAAACCCUAAAUCAAACCCUAAUCCAAAUCCUAAACCGAAUCCUAGCCAAAUCCUAAUCAAAUCCUAAAUCCUAAUCCAAAUCCUAGCCAAAUUCUAAUCCAAACCCUAA
Molecule: long non-coding RNA, 578 nt
Filed under: Physcomitrium patens
Lineage: Eukaryota; Viridiplantae; Streptophyta; Bryopsida; Funariales; Funariaceae
Description: long non-coding RNA (PPAT_LNC002393)
Source: RNAcentral